RNAcentral lists this ribosomal RNA (253 nucleotides) under uncultured bacterium. RNAcentral's name for it is "partial 16S ribosomal RNA". It matches the Rfam family "Bacterial small subunit ribosomal RNA", at positions 524 to 776 of the family's 1533-position model. The record is from RNAcentral.
UACGGGGGGGGCAAGCGUUGUUCGGAAUUACUGGGCGUAAAGGGCUUGUAGGUGGCCAACUAAGUCAGACGUGAAAUCCCUCAGCUUAACUGGGGAACUGCUUCUGAUACUGGAUGGCUUGAGUUUGGGAGAGGGAUGCGGAAUUCCAGGUGUAGCGGUGAAAUGCGUAGAUAUCUGGAGGAACACCCGUGGCGAAAGCGGCUCUCUGGAACGGUACUGACGCUGAGACGCGAAAGCGUGGGGAGCGAACAGG